AGCAGCCGCGGUAAUUCCAGCUCCAAUAGCGUAUAUUAGUGUUGUUGCGGUUAAAAAGCUCGUAGUUGAAUUUCGGGAUUGGGAUAUAUCGGUCAUGUCUUUAGGGGUAUGAAUCGGUGUGUGGCUAAUUCUCACCUUCUGGUGAAUUGGGAUGCUCUUGGGUAUUUCAAUGAACUAGGACUUUUACUUUGAAAAAAUUAGAGUGUUUAAAGUGGGCAUUUUUGCUUGAAUACAUUAGCAUGGAAUAAUAAAAUAGGACGAUGGUUCUAUUUUGUUGGUUUUAGGACCACGUAAUGAUUAAUAGGGAUAGUUGGGGGCAUUAGUAUUCAAUUGUCAGAGGUGAAAUUCUUGGAUUUAUUGAGGACUAACUACUGCGAAAGCAUUUGCCAAGGAUGUUUUCAUUAAUCAAGAACGAAAGUUAGGGGACCAAAGACGAUUUAUGUACGUCGUAGUCUUAACCAUAAACUAUGCCGACUAGGAAUCAGACAAAGUUAAUUUUUUAACGACUUGUUUGGUACCUUACG
This 524-nucleotide ribosomal RNA is filed under the name uncultured Entrophosporaceae. RNAcentral's name for it is "SSU rRNA". It matches the Rfam family "Eukaryotic small subunit ribosomal RNA", at positions 569 to 1092 of the family's 1831-position model. The record is from RNAcentral. Lineage: Eukaryota; Fungi; Glomeromycota; Glomeromycetes; Entrophosporales; Entrophosporaceae.